CAGCAGCCGCGGGAAUACGUAGGUGGCAAGCGUUGUCCGGAAUUAUUGGGCGUAAAGGGCUCGCAGGCGGUUUCUUAAGUCUGAUGUGAAAGCCCCCGGCUCAACCGGGGAGGGUCAUUGGAAACUGGGAAACUUGAGUGCAGAAGAGGAGAGUGGAAUUCCACGUGUAGCGGUGAAACGCGUAGAGAUGUGGAGGAACACCAGUGGCGAAGGCGACUCUCUGGUCUGUAACUGACGCUGAGGAGCGAAAGCGUGGGGAGCGAACAGGAUUAGAUACCCCCGUAGUCCCUGUCUCUUAUAC
This 301-nucleotide ribosomal RNA is filed under the name uncultured bacterium. RNAcentral describes it as "partial 16S ribosomal RNA". It matches the Rfam family "Bacterial small subunit ribosomal RNA", at positions 509 to 807 of the family's 1533-position model. The record is from RNAcentral.